RNAcentral lists this ribosomal RNA (433 nucleotides) under uncultured bacterium. RNAcentral's name for it is "partial 16S ribosomal RNA". It matches the Rfam family "Bacterial small subunit ribosomal RNA", at positions 29 to 507 of the family's 1533-position model. The record is from RNAcentral.
AGCGAACGCUGGCGGCAGGCCUAACACAUGCGAGUCGAACGAACUCUUCGGAGUUAGUGGCGGACGGGGGAGUAACACGUGGGAACGUGCCUUUAGGUUCGGAAUAACUCAGGGAAACUUGUGCUAAUACCGAAUGUGCCCUUCGGGGGAAAGAUUUAUCGCCUUUAGAGCGGCCCGCGUCUGAUUAGCUAGUUGGUGAGGUAAAGGCUCACCAAGGCGACGAUCAGGAGCUGGUCUGAGAGGAUGAUCAGCCACAUUGGGACUGAGACACGGCCCAAACUCCUACGGGAGGCAGCAGUGGGGAAUCUUGCGCAAUGGGCGAAAGCCUGACGCAGCCAUGCCGCGUGAAUGAUGAAGGUCUUAGGAUUGUAAAAUUCUUUCACCGGGGACGAGAAUGACGGUACCCGGAGAAGAAGCCCCGGCUAACUUCGUG